UACAGAGGGUGCAAGCGUUUAAUCGGAAUUACUGGGCGUAAAGGGCUCGUAGGCGGCCAACUAAGUCAGACGUGAAAUCCCCUCGGCUUAACCGGGGAACUGCGUCUGAUACUGGAUGGCUUGAGAUUGGGAGAGGGAUGCGGAAUUCCAGGUGUAGCGGUGAAAUGCGUAGAUAUCUGGAGGAACACCGGUGGCGAAGGCGGCAUCCUGGACCAACACUGACGCGUGAGGCGCGAAAGCUAGGGGAGCAAACGGG
Molecule: ribosomal RNA, 256 nt
Filed under: uncultured bacterium
Lineage: Bacteria
Description: partial 16S ribosomal RNA
Rfam family: Bacterial small subunit ribosomal RNA
Source: RNAcentral